CUCCUACCCCAACCCCCGCGCCUUGAACAUGCGUAGAAUCAUCGUUGUUCGCCGCUCUCCCUUCGCUUCCUCCGUCGCAGUCCUGUUUCUUUUCUUGCGCGUGCGUUCAGCUCCUUUGCUCAGCCGCGGAGGUGGAGGGACCACGAGGACUGCGGGCCCUAGGGUCCACAGAUGACAUAUCAGUCGAUAGGCAUGCAUUUACUGUUCGAGGGAAACAAAUAAGGGUGCAGCUUAGGCGAAAAGAAAAUCGUCUUAUUGCCAGUGUCUAAACUCCUAACGACGGAAUGUGUCUCUGAGACUAUGAGUGUGGAUACACGUGUACUUAAAACAGCCCCGCCUGUGUGCAGAGCUCUUGCUGUACGUCAACGCUUUACAGGAGCUAUCGCACUUAAGCCUCAGAACAACUUGAUGAGGCCUAUUUCUAACAGGCUUAUUUAUGUGCAUUCUUAUUCUAUCACGGAUUGGAAUCAGAAAAUUGGACAGUGUUGCAGGUACUCAUUGAUGCAGGCCUACCAGCAGCCACAAAAGUGAGAACUGAAUACACUACAAGAAAUGUUGAAGAAAGAGCUUCAGACAGAAGGGAAAUGAUACCAUUUGGAAAUACAGAUCUACACAAAGGAAUGAUGAGCCCUGGAAAAGGAUCAGCUGUCCCUGCUCUGAGCUAAGGCAAGCCCCUCUACUUGUGCCUCGGAUCCCAUCUUUUCUUGUAGAGUCAAGGAUUGCGUUCUUGAUUGGUUCCUGGAAGUGGAACUACUGUAUCAAAGAUUUGGAUGUUUUUAAGACCCCAGAAAGUGAUUCUCAUCCAAAACAUAGCAGCAUCGUGUCAUGGAAAAACACUGGACUGGGAGAAUCAGCUCUCGUCUCAACUCUUCCAUUAAAUGAAAGAUUUGAGCUUUUGGAAACCACUUUAACUCUUUGGACCUCAGUUUCGUCAGCUUCAUCGGUCUGCUAUGCCAAAAUGCCAGAAAAUGAACCUCAGUUUCUUGGUGAUAAUAAAGUGAACUGGCUUCCAGCAGAGAGAGAUCACGGCUUCUGUGACGGACUCCUGUACUUCUCCCUUCUCCAACCCCCUUCUCCACUGGCCAGUGCAGUCACCUUGCUCAGCCCUCUGGCCUCGCCUGGAAAACGUCCUCAUCAGGCCUGGAGUCCUUCCCUGUAAAAUGAUGAUGGAACUACCUAGCUCAUAGAGACACUGUGGUACCCACCACUGGCUGGAUCCCAGUGGAAGCCAGAGGGGAAGGGAGUUCUUUAUGCUGUCCAUACAGGUCAGCCCCCAGGGCAGAGAGCAGGUGGAGAAGAUUGGAAAGUGGAUCUGAGCAAGCAGAAGG
Molecule: long non-coding RNA, 1328 nt
Filed under: Equus asinus (donkey)
Lineage: Eukaryota; Metazoa; Chordata; Mammalia; Perissodactyla; Equidae
Description: lncRNA (ENSEASG00005038150.1)
Rfam family: Deleted in lymphocytic leukemia 1 conserved region 1 (bases 151-340)
Source: RNAcentral